CCUACGGGAGACAGCAGUGAGGAAUAUUGGUCAAUGGGCGCAAGCCUGAACCAGCCACGCCGCGUGAAGGAAGACGGCUCUAGGUGUUAUAAACUUCUUUUGUAAGGGAGUAAAUUGCGGUACGUGUGUCUGUUUGUAAGUAUAUUAUGAUUAAGGAUCGGCUAACUCCGUGCCAGCAGCCGCGGUAAUACGGAGGAUCCGAGCGUUAUCCGGAUUUAUUGGGUUUAAAGGGAGCGUAGAUGGUUUGUGAAGUCAGAGGUGAAAGUUGGCGGCUCAACCGUGAAACUGCAGUUGAUACUGGCCGGCUGGAGUACAGUUGAGGUAGGCGGAAUGCGUGGUGUAGCGGUGAAAUGCUUAGAUAUCACGAAGAACACCGAUUGCGAAGGCAGCUUACUAAACUGCCACUGACAUUGAGGCUCGAAAGCGUGGGGAGCAAACAGGAUUAGAUACCCCUGUAGUC
RNAcentral lists this ribosomal RNA (460 nucleotides) under uncultured bacterium. Its description in RNAcentral is "partial 16S ribosomal RNA". It matches the Rfam family "Bacterial small subunit ribosomal RNA", at positions 338 to 795 of the family's 1533-position model. The record is from RNAcentral.